UUUAGAGUUAUAAAUGUUUUGUGCCAGUGAAAUAAUGGUUGAAAAAUCUCUAUACAUAUGUCAUUUUAAAAUAACACCCAACUUCUAUAUAUAGUCAAUACAUAUGUGCAUGUUAUAUUCUAGACUAAAUAUUAAUAUAGAAAAUAUUUUUUUUAGUCUACAAGCAAAUAUUGUAGAGCAAGUAUGCAUUAUACAAAAUAAUAUAUAUUUAAAAUCCAUACACAAAAACAUAAAAGUUGUUAUAGGCCUCUUUCUGACACAUGCACACUCCGC
Molecule: long non-coding RNA, 273 nt
Filed under: Brassica rapa (field mustard)
Lineage: Eukaryota; Viridiplantae; Streptophyta; Magnoliopsida; Brassicales; Brassicaceae
Description: long non-coding RNA (BRAP_LNC002923)
Source: RNAcentral